Molecule: long non-coding RNA, 1603 nt
Organism: Lolium perenne
Lineage: Eukaryota; Viridiplantae; Streptophyta; Magnoliopsida; Poales; Poaceae
Source: RefSeq, a predicted model, not a curated record
UCUGGAAUGUAGACGCGUACUCUCUCGACUCUUCCCCAGAUCGAGCUCUUCUAUGGAUUUCCUCCCUACCCAACACAAUCUUCACCUCCACCUUUCUCCCCUGGAGCUUCUUCCUCUAUACCCUAUCUUCACGGAAGGGAUGACCUAGGGUUUCGCCAGUCCCGCCCGUCCGCCGCCACGACCAUCGGCGAUGCGCCACAAGGCGUACCUGGAGGAGCAGCGCCGGGUGCGUCACCAUGCGUUGGUGAUAGCCAGACCGAGGGGGCCGACGCCGGCUGGAGGAGCACAUCACGCUCCUGGUUGUGUUGCUGGGAGUCCCCGCUGCUGACAGCCCGCGUCUGCCGGACCGCUCCCUCCUCCCCUCGGUUUCCUCUCUCCUGUCUCCUCCCUCUCAUCCAAAAACAGGCGCAGCGGGGGCGGAGACGGUCUGGACGGUGACCAGAUCGGGGCGGCGACGAGGAUGGAGAUGCUGCGAUACCAUCUGAGCUCGAUCUCCGCUGUUGGAAUUUUCGUUUUCUUUUUUGUUCACAUGCUUUUACUUUUCUGUUCAUGUUUUUCCUGUCAAUUUUGGGGAUUUUUGUUUCGUGAAAUGGGCAUAUCAAAUUGGCAACUAGAUAGAUCGUUGGAGUACGGGCAGUGCAUCAGGCCAGGGCUGCAGAGGAUCAAGUGGCUACAGAGAAGAUGGAGGAACAGAUGGAUGCCGCAUAUUGUCAGCCUGAAAGCAUACAACUUUCGGAUAGAUCUGUAUAAUUUCGUUUGAGUGCCGUUGUUGGAUUCUGUUGUUGGGGCUAAAGGAGCUGUGGAUCUGAGCUCUUUGUAGCUAACAUGCCUUCAUAUACGCGCACGGUGUUCACUGAAAUGCAAGGAAGACAUAAUUGAGUGUGUUCCUCAGAUCAUAUGUGAUUACUGAUGCAUUUUCACUGUGGCUGUAUAGAUAAGAAAACAAGAGAUACGGAUAUGGAUGUCUGCUAUUGAAUAUGGUGUGGCCAUUCACAGGCUUAAGAUCUGAUUAGCAGUGUUCUUGGGGUAUGAUUAGGUUGUCUUGCUGAUAACCCAUCCGGAUGAUAAGACUGUUUUGCUAACCAUGGACAAUCCUGCAACUGAGGGAAAACAAUGAAGAAAUUUGAGCUGCAUUUGAGCAAUGUAUUGUAUUUAGCAUGAAGGAAAAUUGCAACAGAUUCUUGAGGGACCAUGAGCCCAACUGACAUACUGCCUCCUAUCGCCAAGAAUUGCACAACAUUCUCAUCUAUGGGAGGUUUGAAGAACAAUCAUUUGUAUGAGGCCACAUACACUGCCAUUUCUUUUGUGGUUAGACGCUCAGACAACUACAAAAAUUAUGGAAAGCGAUAUCUGGAUGAGGUUUCUGGCGACUAUGGUCAAGGUACUCAGGGCUACAGGAUCAUGGGCACCGAUAUAUGGCUCACUUGGAGCAUGUUUGUGAGUUUAUCCCUUCUAAUGUACGCGCUCAAUUCUUGAUGUAUGGGUACAAGGACACAGAGCUCCAGCUCCUGAACAUUUUACUCUAAAAGACUUAAGCUUUUAUCCUGUCAUAAAUGGUAGAAGUGAACUGUAUGUAGUAUGGCAGUGUGUAUUGCUACUAGAA